CGACGAAACAGUAAUAAUUUUGCAUUUUCAGACAGGUGUUACCACUGAGACAAUGCUGAAGAUAACUGUCUUGCUUGGAUGCCUCCUGAGCCUCACUUUGGCUUAUCCCACUGGGGCUGAGCACCAGCGGAUUGCUCGCUCUUUAUCCAACUCUGACUCCAACGAGCUUGGCUCUCCCUUGUUUCCCUUCCUGGCUGAGAAGGCUCAAGAACAGCUAAUGCAACUCCUUCUCACCCUGUUACAGCAAACCCUAGCACCGGCCCCGGGCCCGAACCCAGCCCCGGGCCCAGCUACGCCUACCCCUGCUUCUGCUCCAAAAUGAAAUUACUUCACUGGGAAUCCAUUGAAAA
Long non-coding RNA from Lampris incognitus (smalleye Pacific opah), 350 nucleotides. RefSeq lists it as uncharacterized. The transcript is spliced from 4 exons. NCBI's taxonomy places the organism in Eukaryota, Metazoa, Chordata, Actinopteri, Lampriformes, Lampridae. The record is from RefSeq and is a predicted model, not a curated record.